This 541-nucleotide ribosomal RNA is filed under the name Podospora sp. Ppf7. RNAcentral's name for it is "eukaryotic LSU rRNA". The stretch from base 172 to 325 matches the Rfam family "5.8S ribosomal RNA". The record is from RNAcentral. Lineage: Eukaryota; Fungi; Ascomycota; Sordariomycetes; Sordariales; Podosporaceae.
CUUCCGUAGGUGAACCUGCGGAAGGAUCAUUACCUAGAGUUUGUGGGCUUUGCCCACUGUCUCUUACCCAUGUCUUUUGAGUACUUACGUUUCCUCGGUGGGCUCGCCCGCCGGUUGGACAAUUUAAACCAUUUGCAGUUGCAAUCAGCGUCUGAAAAACAUAAUAGUUACAACUUUCAACAACGGAUCUCUUGGUUCUGGCAUCGAUGAAGAACGCAGCGAAAUGCGAUAAGUAGUGUGAAUUGCAGAAUUCAGUGAAUCAUCGAAUCUUUGAACGCACAUUGCGCCCCUUGGUAUUCCAUGGGGCAUGCCUGUUCGAGCGUCAUUUGUACCUUCAAGCUCUGCUUGGUGUUGGGUGUUUGUCUCGCCUUGCGCGUAGACUCGCCUUAAAACAAUUGGCAGCCGGCGUAUUGAUUUCGGAGCGCAGUACAUCUCGCGCUUUGCACUCAUAACGACGACGUCCAAAAGUACUUUUUACACUCUUGACCUCGGAUCAGGUAGGGAUACCCGCUGAACUUAAGCAUAUCAAUAAGCGGAGGAA